Molecule: ribosomal RNA, 292 nt
Filed under: uncultured Acidobacteriota bacterium
Lineage: Bacteria; Pseudomonadati; Acidobacteriota
Description: uncultured Acidobacteria bacterium partial 16S ribosomal RNA
Source: RNAcentral
GGACUACUAGGGUAUCUAAUCCUGUUUGCUCCCCACACUUUCGAGUUUCAGUGUCAGUCGUGGUCCAGUAAGCCGUCUACACCGCAGGUGUUCCUCCUGAUAUCUACGCAUUUCACCGCUACACCAGGAAUUCCGCCUACCUCUCCCACACUCUAGCGCGACAGUCUUCGGCGCACCCUCCCAGUUGAGCCGGGAGAUUUCACACCAAACUUAUCGCACCACCUACACUCGCUUUACGCCCAGUAAUUCCGAACAACGCUUGCUGCCUACGUAUUACCGCGGCUGCUGGCAC